Molecule: ribosomal RNA, 618 nt
Filed under: Pseudoalteromonas arabiensis
Lineage: Bacteria; Pseudomonadati; Pseudomonadota; Gammaproteobacteria; Alteromonadales; Pseudoalteromonadaceae
Description: bacterial SSU rRNA
Rfam family: Bacterial small subunit ribosomal RNA
Source: RNAcentral
AUGUCUACGGACCAAAGUGGGGGACCUUCGGGCCUCACGCCAUAAAAUUAGCCCAAGUGGGAUUAGCUAGUUGGUGAGGUAAUGGCUCACCAAGGCGACGAUCCCUAGCUGGUUUGAGAGGAUGAUCAGCCACACUGGGACUGAAACACGGCCCAGACUCCUACGGGAGGCAGCAGUGGGGAAUAUUGCACAAUGGGCGCAAGCCUGAUGCAGCCAUGCCGCGUGUGUGAAGAAGGCCUUCGGGUUGUAAAGCACUUUCAGUAAGGAGGAAAGGUUAGGCGCUAAUAGCGCUUAGCUGUGACGUUACUUACAGAAAAAGCACCGGCUAACUCCGUGCCAGCAGCCGCGGUAAUACGGAGGGUGCGAGCGUUAAUCGGAAUUACUGGGCGUAAAGCGUACGCAGGCGGUUUGUUAAGCGAGAUGUGAAAGCCCCGGGCUCAACCUGGGAACUGCAUUUCGAACUGGCAAACUAGAGUGUGAUAGAGGGUGGUAGAAUUUCAGGUGUAGCGGUGAAAUGCGUAGAGAUCUGAAGGAAUACCGAUGGCGAAGGCGGCCACCUGGGUCAACACUGACGCUCAUGUACGAAAGCGUGGGGAGCAAACAGGAUUAGAUACCCUG